This is an RNA transcript of Musa acuminata AAA Group (dessert banana), 1372 nucleotides long. It is a transcript of the gene named dnaJ protein homolog, with no coding region annotated. The transcript has 6 exons. The record is from RefSeq and is a predicted model, not a curated record. Lineage: Eukaryota; Viridiplantae; Streptophyta; Magnoliopsida; Zingiberales; Musaceae.
UCUGGCAUUUAUCGUACCCAACCAACCAGGCUUGACCGCGAGUCCAUUGAAUACCCCAUCGCUUCCCCGGCGGAUACCAAUCAGGGUUUCGUUCUCCUUGGUUCUUCGAUCCAGGCGACGGAAUCGGAGCGGUUUGGAGUUUGAAUCGCUUGGUUCGUGCGUGUCUUGGUGGGGUUUGGGAUCCAUCGACCGAUCGAGUUAGUGUUUGGCCUCGAAGAUGUUCGGAAGAGCGCCGAAGAAGAGCAACAACACGAAGUACUACGAGGUACUUGGGGUGCCCAAGAGCGCGUCGCAGGAUGAUCUGAAGAAGGCCUACCGGAAGGCCGCCAUCAAGAACCACCCAGACAAGGGCGGCGACCCCGAGAAGUUCAAGGAGUUAGCUCAGGCUUAUGAAGUUCUGAGUGAUCCUGAAAAGCGUGAGAUCUAUGAUCAGUAUGGUGAAGAUGCCCUCAAGGAGGGAAUGGGUGGUGGCGGUGGCCAUGACCCAUUCGAUAUUUUCUCGUCUUUCUUUGGCGGGAGUCCCUUUGGAGGAGGAAGCAGCAGGGGACGAAGGCAGAGGAGAGGGGAGGACGUGAUCCACCCUCUGAAGGUGUCUUUGGAAGACCUCUACAAUGGAACUUCUAAGAAGCUGUCACUCUCACGAAAUGUCAUCUGCCGGAAGUGCAAGGGCAAGGGCUCAAAAUCUGGUGCUUCGAUGAAGCGCCUGAUACCGUCACUGGAGACAUUGUGUUCAUCCUUCAACAGAAGGAUCACCCCAAGUUCAAGAGAAAGGGGGAUGAUAUCUUUUAUGAGCAUACGCUGUCCCUCACCGAGGCUCUUUGUGGCUUCCAGUUUGUUUUGACUCACCUCGACAACAGGCAGCUGCUCAUUAAAUCGAAUCCUGGUGAAGUUGUUAAGCCUGAUCAAUUCAAGGCAAUCAAUGAUGAGGGUAUGCCAAUGUACCAGCGGCCCUUCAUGAGGGGGAAGCUCUACAUUCACUUCACCGUUGACUUCCCCGAUUCAUUGACACCGGAUCAGUGCAAGGCUCUCGAGGCGGUGCUCCCUCCAAGGCAGGCGUUACAGAUGACAGAGAUGGAGCUGGAUGAAUGCGAGGAGACGAUACUAAACAAUGUUAACAUCGAGGAGGAGAUGCGGAGGAAACAGGCCCAGUAUCAGGAGGCAUACGAUGAGGAUGACGAUGUUCAUGGCGGUGCUCGAGUGCAGUGCGCGCAACAGUAAGAAGUUCAAAUUUGUAUCGGCUUAAUCAUCUUUUUGAUGUAAAUUUACACCAAAUUGAUGAGCUAGAGAAGCUACUACGAACCUGGAUUUUGCUGCCUACGUAAUUAUUUUUUUUAUUCCUAUCAAACAUCUGCAAUUCAGAAUUGGUUGAUCA